RNAcentral lists this long non-coding RNA (957 nucleotides) under Ursus maritimus (polar bear). Its description in RNAcentral is "lncRNA (ENSUMAG00000017570.1)". The record is from RNAcentral. Lineage: Eukaryota; Metazoa; Chordata; Mammalia; Carnivora; Ursidae.
GUGGUGUGUGUAUGGUGUGUGUGGUGUGUGUGUGUGUGUGGUGUGUGUGUAUGGUGUAUGUGUGGUGUGUGUGUGUGUGGUGGGUGUGUGUGGUGUACGUGUGGUGUAUGUGUGGGGUGUGUGUGUGUGUGGUAUAUGUGUGUGUGGUGUAUGUGUGUGGUGUUUAUGUGUGUGUGGUGUAUGUGUGGUGUGUGUGGUGUGUGUGGUGUGUGUAUGUGUGUGGUGUAUGUGUGGUGUGUGUGUGUGGUGUGUGUGGUGUGUGUGGUGUGUGUGUGGUGUGUGGUGUUGUGUAUGGUGUGUGUAUGUGUGUGGUGUAUGUGGUGUGUGUGGUGUCUGUGUGGUGUCUGUGUGGUGUGUCUGUGUGGUGCGUGUGUGGUGUGUGUGGUAUAUGUGUGUGGUGUGUGUGGUGUCUGUGUGCUGUCUGUGUGUGGUGUCUGUGUGUUGUGUCUGUGUGGUGUGUGUGGUGUGUGUGGUGUCUGUGUGGUGUCUGUGUGGUGUGUCUGUGUGGUGCGUGUGGUGCGUGUGUGGUGUCUGUGUGGUGUCUGUGUGGUGUCUGUGUGGUGUCUGUGUGGUGUCUGUGUGGUGUCUGUGUGGUGUCUGUGUGGUGUCUGUGUGGUGUCUGUGUGGUGUCUGUGUGGUGUCUGUGUGGUGUCUGUGUGGUGUCUGUGUGGUGGGUGUGUGUGUGUGGUGUCUGUGUGGUGUGUCUGUAUGGUGUCUGUGUGGUGUGUGUGGUGUCUGUGUGGUGUCUGUGUGGUGUCUGUGUGUUGUGUCUGUGUGGUGCGUGUGUGGUGUCUGUGUGGUGUCUGCGUGGCGUGGGGGGGGAGGGCACGGCAGGGCACGCUGGUGUGAGGGGUCAGGGAGAGCAGCUCCUUCACCACCCGCGCUGGGCGACGGGGACGGGACGCAGCUCCUGUCCCGGGGGCAGGGCGCUGGUUGUCGCCAGGCGCAGCAUCUGUC